GCGCCUGUAGCUCAAUUGGACAGAGCAGCGGACUUCUAAUCCGCAGGUUGGAGGUUCGAGUCCUCCCAGGCGUGCCA
This 77-nucleotide transfer RNA is filed under the name Actinomycetota bacterium. Its description in RNAcentral is "tRNA-Arg". It matches the Rfam family "tRNA". Rfam says of the family: Transfer RNA (tRNA) molecules are approximately 80 nucleotides in length. The record is from RNAcentral. Lineage: Bacteria; Bacillati; Actinomycetota.